UUUGACCUCAAAUCAGGUAGGAUUACCCGCUGAACUUAAGCAUAUCAAUAAGCGGAGGAAAAGAAACUAACAAGGAUUCCCCUAGUAACUGCGAGUGAAGCGGGAAAAGCUCAAAUUUAAAAUCUGGCAGUCUCUCUUUUUUUCUUUGGCUGUCCGAGBUGUAAUC
This 166-nucleotide ribosomal RNA is filed under the name Amanita sp. 'rooseveltensis'. Its description in RNAcentral is "partial 28S ribosomal RNA". It matches the Rfam family "Eukaryotic large subunit ribosomal RNA", at positions 1 to 150 of the family's 3401-position model. Lineage: Eukaryota; Fungi; Basidiomycota; Agaricomycetes; Agaricales; Amanitaceae. The record is from RNAcentral.